UGGUUCGAUUAUGGCUCAGGAUGAACGCUAGCGACAGGCUUAACACAUGCAAGUCGAGGGGCAUCGGGGGUGAAAGCUUGCUUUCACCUGCCGGCGACCGGCGCACGGGUGAGUAACACGUAUGCAACCUGCCCUCCACUGGGGGAUAAGCGGAAGAAAUUCCGUCUAAUACCGCAUAACAACCCGAGGGGACAUCCCCUUGGGUUUAAAGGAGUGAUCCGGUGGCGGAUGGGCAUGCGGCGCAUUAGCUUGUUGGCGGGGUAACGGCCCACCAAGGCGACGAUGCGUAGGGGUUCUGAGAGGAAGGUCCCCCACACUGGUACUGAGACACGGACCAGACUCCUACGGGAGGCAGCAGUGAGGAAUAUUGGUCAAUGGGCGGGAGCCUGAACCAGCCAAGUCGCGUGAGGGAAGACGGUCCUAUGGAUUGUAAACCUCUUUUGUCGGGGAGCAAAGAGGCCUCGUGAGGUCAAAAGUGAGAGUACCCGAAGAAAAAGCAUCGGCUAACUCCGUGCCAGCAGCCGCGGUAAUACGGAGGAUGCGAGCGUUAUCCGGAUUUAUUGGGUUUAAAGGGUGCGUAGGCGGGACGGUAAGUCAGCGGUAAAAAUGCGGAGCUCAACUCCGUCGAGCCGUUGAAACUGCCGUUCUUGAGUGAGCGAGAAGUAUGCGGAAUGCGUGGUGUAGCGGUGAAAUGCAUAGAUAUCACGCAGAACUCCGAUUGCGAAGGCAGCAUACCGGCGCUCAACUGACGCUGAAGCACGAAGGCGUGGGUAUCGAACAGGAUUAGAUACCCUGGUAGUCCACGCAGUAAACGAUGAAUGCUAAUUGUCCGUUGCGAAUGAGCGAUGGGUGAUACAGCGAAAGCGUUAAGCAUUCCACCUGGGGAGUACGCCGGCAACGGUGAAACUCAAAGGAAUUGACGGGGGCCCGCACAAGCGGAGGAACAUGUGGUUUAAUUCGACGAUACGCGAGGAACCUUACCCGGGCUCAAACGCCAUCUGACGUAGGCUGAAAGGCUUAUUUCUUCGGACAGACGGCGAGGUGCUGCAUGGUUGUCGUCAGCUCGUGCCGUGAGGUGUCGGCUUAAGUGCCAUAACGAGCGCAACCCCUGUCGACAGUUGCUAACAGGUAAAGCUGAGGACUCUGUCGAGACUGCCGGCGCAAGCUGUGAGGAAGGCGGGGAUGACGUCAAAUCAGCACGGCCCUUACGUCCGGGGCGACACACGUGUUACAAUGGCAGGUACAGCGGGAAGCCACCCGGCGACGGGGCGCGGAACCCGAAAACCUGUCUCAGUUCGGAUUGGAGUCUGCAACCCGACUCCAUGAAGCUGGAUUCGCUAGUAAUCGCGCAUCAGCCACGGCGCGGUGAAUACGUUCCCGGGCCUUGUACACACCGCCCGUCAAGCCAUGGAAGCCGGGGGUACCUGAAGUACGUGACCGCAAGGAGCGUCCUAAGGUAAAACCGGUGACUGGGGCUAAGUCGUAAAAAGGUAGCC
This 1496-nucleotide ribosomal RNA is filed under the name uncultured bacterium. RNAcentral describes it as "bacterial SSU rRNA". It matches the Rfam family "Bacterial small subunit ribosomal RNA". The record is from RNAcentral.